Long non-coding RNA from Passer domesticus (house sparrow), 1313 nucleotides. RefSeq lists it as uncharacterized. The transcript has 3 exons. The record is from RefSeq and is a predicted model, not a curated record. NCBI's taxonomy places the organism in Eukaryota, Metazoa, Chordata, Aves, Passeriformes, Passeridae.
UUGACUUGGGCCCCUGGUGCGAGGACACGAGGCUUGACUCCAUGUUGAUCAGAAGGCUGAUUUAUUAUGAUAUAUAUUAUACUAAAAUGCUACAUUACAACUAUACUAAAAGAACAGAGAGAAAGAUCAGAAGGCUACAAAGACAAGAAUAGAAUAGGAAUGAAUAACAAAAAUCCUGUGACUGCGCACAGCCUUGGCACAGGUGGCUGUGAUUGGUUACUGAUUGAAAACAAUCCACAUGGACCAAUGGAAGAUUCACCUGUGGCACUCCACAGCAGCAGACAGUUAUGGUUUACAUUUCUUUCCUGGGGCCCUCAGCUCCUCAGGACAGGAAAAAUCCUAGCAGAGGCUUUUUCACUAAAAAUCCUGGCAACAGAACGUUGUCAAUACAAUUUUUGUGAAAUCUACAUGAGAAUCUGAGGAGAUUACUACACAGCUUGGAUGCUAGAGGAACUUCUGCAAAUAGGUUACAGGGUAUUUAUUUAACUGAUUCAGAACUUUGCUUCAGCUGGCAAUAGUUCAAGAAUUUUAUUUUCUAGUGUCUUUUGGUGGCCCACAUUAAAAAACAAAAAAAAAACCACAAAACAAAAAAAAAACAAAGAACAAGUUCUGUCCUUUUCCAAUUUCAAACAGAUAUUCUUUUUCUUUACCCAUGAAUUAUGACAAAGCAAGUGACGUUCAAAGUCAGCAUUCAGAAAGAGCCCUGAGAAGAGACUAGAUGUAUGCCAAUUCCCUCUUGCUAUUCAGCUGAUUUUAUAUACUAGCUUUCUGUGUCUCUAGCUUUUUAUAUGAUCUCUGUUACUACAGCCACUUCCAAAUCUUGGUAAAAAUUAGUAAUUUCUCCACCUUCACUUUGUGGGAAAUUGUGGGGGCAAAAAAGUAGCAUUGUUUAGUCCAAGUUCAAGCAGAAAAACAGAAAUUCAGAAAUACAUUCUGACCCUUGGCCAGUUUUAAUUUUUAUUUAACAGCACCCACAAGGACACCGUCCCCAAGUGAGGGGAGUGGGGCACGCAGAACUCACCGAUUGUGAGGUCACGGGCACAUCUCCAGGGAGGCCUGAGGAAGGAUUGGAAGGCUUUGUCAGGAGGAGAAAGGCCGGCAGUGCUGUGGCACAGACCGUCCAGACAUUCCUCCGUACCCACAAUGGUGCAGCAGAACGCUGCUAAGAAGCGUCCCCCUGGCAAGGAGCGAGAGGCAGACGCAGAGAGCGGCAGCUGCCUCUCCGGACAUGCCAGGCCGGACCAGGCUCGUCGCCUUGGAGACGUUCAUGGAGACAGCAAGCACAAGACUCGGGCAGCCAGAAAGGAAAACGC